GGACUUCACCACUGCUUGUACACGACUUCCUGUCAUAAUGGGAUUUAGGGAACGUCUUCAGGUGACAGGAAGGCAAUUAAAAAAACGAAUGGUACUUCACAGAACUUGCAUACAACUAUACAUUCCCUGAACCAACACUAAGAUACUUUAUAUGGUGCCGUAAAACAUGGGAGUGUAAAUUGCAUCCAGCUGCAAAAAUGGAUUUUGAAUGCGGUUCGAUUUUCAACAUCAGAUAUUACCCAGCUUAUAACCAAAUCGACCGAAGAUGUAGAGAGGAAACAACAGGAAAGGAUGGCUCUACAAACAGAACUGGUCAAUGUCGUGAAAGACUCUGUAUAACAAAAUCUAGAAUUGGAACUUUGAAUGAAAAAAAAAAACUGUUUCAAUGAUUACAUAGCACAGGGUUAUUUUAAUUUUUAUUGGAAGUUUGUGAUUAUGACUUAAAUAAAUGACACUUAAGAUAG
This is a long non-coding RNA of Mytilus californianus (California mussel), 464 nucleotides long. RefSeq lists it as uncharacterized. The transcript is spliced from 2 exons. NCBI's taxonomy places the organism in Eukaryota, Metazoa, Mollusca, Bivalvia, Mytilida, Mytilidae. The record is from RefSeq and is a predicted model, not a curated record.